This 73-nucleotide transfer RNA is filed under the name Ixodes scapularis (black-legged tick). It matches the Rfam family "tRNA". From Rfam's summary of the family: Transfer RNA (tRNA) molecules are approximately 80 nucleotides in length. Their secondary structure includes four short double-helical elements and three loops (D, anti-codon, and T loops). Lineage: Eukaryota; Metazoa; Arthropoda; Arachnida; Ixodida; Ixodidae. The record is from Rfam by way of RNAcentral.
CCCUCGUAAGGUCAGUUGGUAGGGCGCUCCACUGAAAAGGGAGAGGUCCCGGGUUCGAUACCCGGACCCGGCA